GUGGGGAAUCUUGCGCAAUGGGCGAAAGCCUGACGCAGCCAUGCCGCGUGAAUGAUGAAGGUCUUAGGAUUGUAAAAUUCUUUCACCGGGGACGAUAAUGACGGUACCCGGAGAAGAAGCUCCGGCUAACUUCGUGCCAGCAGCCGCGGUAAUACGAAGGGGGCUAGCGUUGCUCGGAAUUACUGGGCGUAAAGGGCGCGUAGGCGGACAGCUUAGUCAGAGGUGAAAGCCCAGGGCUCAACCUUGGAAUUGCCUUUGAUACUGGCUGUCUUGAGUUUGGGAGAGGUGAGUGGAACUCCGAGUGUAGAGGUGAAAUUCGUAGAUAUUCGGAAGAACACCAGUGGCGAAGGCGACUCACAGGCCCAAUACUGACGCUGAGGCGCGAAAGCGUGGGGAGCAAACAGGAUUAGAAACCCGUGUAGUCC
This 425-nucleotide ribosomal RNA is filed under the name uncultured bacterium. RNAcentral's name for it is "partial 16S ribosomal RNA". It matches the Rfam family "Bacterial small subunit ribosomal RNA", at positions 354 to 796 of the family's 1533-position model. The record is from RNAcentral.